CUACGCUCGCCAACCCCCCAGUGUAGUUUUUGUAUGAUUUUUAUUUUCAAAAUUUUAUUCUAUAUAAAUUUUAUAGAUUAUAAAGAAAGAUUGAAUGUUUAUCGAAGUUGAGAAAAUAAAAGGCAAUUCUGUUUCUAAAGUCUUAGUUAUCAACGAUACUCCCUUAGAUCUGAUUGAUCUCUUACAAGGAUCUGAAAUUUUUAUUAAUGAGAAUAGCGACAACCAGGAUUAACUAAAAAUAUCACAUGUAUGUAAAUAAAAAUUAUACUAUGUUAUAUCGAUGGAGAUGUAAAAAAUGAUAGAAAAGAAAUUGAUUGAUUCUGCAAAAGUGACGGUAGUCACUAUCAACUAAUACCACGUGCACGGAGAAUAUGUACAACACGUCAGUGUUUAAAACGUGAACACUUGCAUAGUGAAAAAUCAAUAAUUGCUACAAUCAGUAUAUGCUUUCAACGUCCAGACGAAAAUGUUUUUACAUAGAGGAAUGCAUGGUACAAAAUUAAAACACCUGCUCAUUUUCUGCGGUCAAUAAAAAGUGUUUUUCUUCAAUUUGGCUUUAACUAACAUUUUGUUUUAUAUUACUUAUUACUGAAAGAUUGAUCAAUGUGUAUGUUUCUAUUUACAAUAAGAAGUGUCUAUAUUAUUUAGCAAAUUACGAGAAUCGUGAUAUUAAAAAAAAAUUAAAAAGUAUUUCUUAUACUUUAUAUAAAAAAAAACAAAAAAAUAUUAAAAUUGAAACAUGUACAACAGAUAAUAACGUAACUGAUGAUAAGUUUUUUGUUGAGCCUUUAAAUUAUGGUGAAAUGACUUAUGAAUGCAAGUAUUGUUCUGCUAAAUUUUGGAAAGAAGAAAAACAAAAAUCAAAUUGUUGUAAUGAUGGAAAAAUUUGUUUAGUUCCUUUAAGUGAAUAUGAUGCUAAUCUAAAAAAUCUUCUAUUACAUGAUGAAGAUUUUAGACAAUUAAUUAGAUAUUAUAACAACCUUCUUAGUUUUGCAUCUUUUACAAGUAAUGAAAUAGAGCAAAAAGGAAAAUCUGUUUACAAUAUUAAAAUACAAGGUCAAAUUUGUCAUGUAACUCCAAGUACUUUUAAAUUAGAUAAUAGGAAUACUCCAAAACAUAGUCAAUUUUAUAUAUAUGAUGAUCAGGAAGCUGUUGAACAAAGAUUAAAUUCUGAUAGAAAUAAAAAUUGAUUAAAUCACACAUCGAAACUUUGACGAAUGUUUUAAAAAAUAAUCCCAUAGCAAAACAUUAUAAACACUUGCACCAAAUUUCAAAUAUUUAAAAUCUACCAAAUUACAAAAUGAUUUUUUUACGAAAAGACGGAAAAGAGAAACAUGUAUAUAACAAACCAGUGACCGCUGAGUGUGGUGCAAUUAUUGUUUCAGGUUCUGGUUUGCCAGAAAAUUACGAUCUUUGUAUAUAUGCUAAAGAAUUACCAGAAAAUCAUCCACAAAAUACAUACCCUAGUGGAAAUAAUUGGGUGUGCCAAAGUGUGCCAAAGUAUGCUAAAGUGUGUUAAAGUGUGCCAAAGUGUGCCAUACUGUGCCAAAGUGUGCCAAAAUGUUCAAAUUCGGAAAUUUGCUACACUUUGGCACACUUUGGCACACCACGGUACAGUGAGAUAUAUCCCGCCGCCCGCGCGCCAAAACAUUGCCACUGCAAAUUUUUUUGUUUUGAGAAAUAAAAUAAUAA
This 1692-nucleotide long non-coding RNA is filed under the name Nasonia vitripennis (jewel wasp). RNAcentral's name for it is "uncharacterized LOC116738642". The record is from RNAcentral. Lineage: Eukaryota; Metazoa; Arthropoda; Insecta; Hymenoptera; Pteromalidae.